Molecule: ribosomal RNA, 253 nt
Filed under: uncultured bacterium
Lineage: Bacteria
Description: partial 16S ribosomal RNA
Rfam family: Bacterial small subunit ribosomal RNA
Source: RNAcentral
UACAGAGGGGGCAAGCGUUGUUCGGAAUUACUGGGCGUAAAGGGCGCGUAGGCGGCCUGUUAAGUCGAACGUGAAAUCCCCGGGCUCAACCCGGGAACUGCGUCCGAUACUGGCAGGCUUGAAUCCGGGAGAGGGAUGCGGAAUUCCAGGUGUAGCGGUGAAAUGCGUAGAUAUCAGGAGGAACACCGGUGGCGAAGGCGGGUCUCUGGGCCGAUACUGACGCUGAGGAGCGAAAGCGUGGGGAGCAAACAGG